RNAcentral lists this long non-coding RNA (255 nucleotides) under Ananas comosus (pineapple). RNAcentral describes it as "long non-coding RNA (ACOM_LNC004884)". Lineage: Eukaryota; Viridiplantae; Streptophyta; Magnoliopsida; Poales; Bromeliaceae. The record is from RNAcentral.
AAAGACUUUUUUUUUUUUUGAAAGAUAGAUAACACGCUACCCGCUUCAUUUAAUUUAUUUAGAAGUAAACUUAGCUGGAAAUAUGAAUCAACUAGUAUUCGAACUUGAGAUCUCGGAUACCAACCACCAAGCCCUUUGCCACUUGCGCUAGGAAUUGUCAGUGUAACGAUGAAAAACUUACAAGUACCAAAUUCUUAGUGUAUAUAGUUUGGAGUUGAGCUCUUGUGCUUUUAAAAGCACAGGAGCUUAAAAGCA